UAGGGAAUCUUCCACAAUGGACGCAAGUCUGAUGGAGCAAACCCCGCGUGAGUGAAGAAAGGUCUUCGGAUCGUAAAGCUCUGUUGUUGGUGAAGAAGGAUAGAGGCAGUAACUGGUCUUUAUUUGACGGUAAUCAACCAGAAAGUCACGGCUAACUACGUGCCAGCAGCCGCGGUAAUACGUAGGUGGCAAGCGUUGUCCGGAUUUAUUGGGCGUAAAGCGAGCGCAGGCGGAAUGAUAAGUCUGAUGUGAAAGCCCACGGCUCAACCGUGGAACUGCAUCGGAAACUGUCAUUCUUGAGUGCAGAAGAGGAGAGUGGAACUCCAUGUGUAGCGGUGGAAUGCGUAGAUAUAUGGAAGAACACCAGUGGCGAAGGCGGCUCUCUGGUCUGCAACUGACGCUGAGGCUCGAAAGCAUGGGUAGCGAACAGGAUUAGAUACCCUGGUAGUCCAUGCCGUAAACGAUGAGCGCUAGGUGUUGGGGACUUUCCGGUCCUCAGUGCCGCAGCAAACGCAUUAAGCGCUCCGCCUGGGGAGUACGACCGCAAGGUUGAAAC
Molecule: ribosomal RNA, 556 nt
Filed under: uncultured bacterium
Lineage: Bacteria
Description: partial 16S ribosomal RNA
Rfam family: Bacterial small subunit ribosomal RNA
Source: RNAcentral